UACGAAGGGGGCGAGCGUUGUUCGGAAUUACUGGGCGUAAAGCGUGCGUAGACGGUUACGUAAGUCGGGUGUGAAAGCCCCCGGCUCAACUGGGGAGGGUCACGCGAUACUGAUCGACUCGAAGGCAGGAGAGGGUAGUGGAAUUCCCGGUGUAGUGGUGAAAUGCGUAGAUAUCAGGAGGAACACCGGUGGCGAAGGCGGGUCUCUGGGCCGAAACUGACGCUGAGGAGCGAAAGCGUGGGGAGCAAACAGG
This 253-nucleotide ribosomal RNA is filed under the name uncultured bacterium. RNAcentral's name for it is "partial 16S ribosomal RNA". It matches the Rfam family "Bacterial small subunit ribosomal RNA", at positions 524 to 776 of the family's 1533-position model. The record is from RNAcentral.